GUCUCCAAGUUGGUAGGAUCCUACCUCAGAGACCAUUUAGUCCAACCCAUACCUGAAGUAUGAAUUUCUCUCCACAAUAUCGAUGGAAAUACACCCAGAUUAAAACAGCCCAAGAGUGAAAUGGGCUGCUCCAUGAAGUAGCAAACUUUCUGUUCCUGGAGUUCUUCAAAUGACUCUAUGACCACUUGAUAAGAACUUUGGAAAGAGAAUUCCUCCUUAGACUGCAUUGGUUGUCAGCAUCAAAAUGAGUCACAGCCUUGUCCCAGCAGUCGGAGAAUUGCUAACAACCAAGUAAUUGGGAUAGUUG
Molecule: long non-coding RNA, 307 nt
Organism: Vombatus ursinus (common wombat)
Lineage: Eukaryota; Metazoa; Chordata; Mammalia; Diprotodontia; Vombatidae
Exons: 3
Source: RefSeq, a predicted model, not a curated record